UGUCGACGCUGCAUCCUAGCUCUGGUGGCAGUUGGCUACAGUAGUUGGCAGUUACUGGAGAGAAUCUAGUGAGAGACUUGGGAAAUGCCAGGAAUGGCUCCUGACUUCGUGCUGCUGCUACUUUGGGGAAAUGGACUAGGAGCAUCCCCACAGGCAAUAAACCCAGGGAAGGCAGUGGUGAUCCCAGAGACAGGCAUAUCUUGUAGUUUUGAUAGUUCAGAAGCAGGAGAAGUGACUUCAGCUGGGCGUUCAUUGAAUGGUUCCUGAGUUUUGACUGGACUACACUGGUCACCACCUUGAGAGAAUUUUCCCAGCCACAGAAGUCUGCUGGUGAAGAGGGUCUUUAGACUGGCACGAUUUCAAAGCUACUCAAGGCAGAUGGAGAAAUGAAAACUGAGAAUGCAUAAUAGGUUCACGUGCAGCAGCGUGAUCAGACUCCUCUGCCUCAGAAGUCAAAAGUGAAGGGGCCAGCCUGGGACUUCGGGAAGAAAACCCUGGAGAAGGCUUCACUCCUGCUAACCACCCAUGAGCACCAAAGCAGCAUCUUUGAAUAUCCUCAGGAGACGACAGUAGAGCUUGGUUAGAGAGAGAGCAAAGCGAUGGAUUAUGAAUUAAUUCAUAAAUACUAUUAGGGAGUUUAUUAUAAAUUGUUUUUGAAGAUUUUAAUAAAAAAGAAAACCUAGUUUUCAGAGAUUAGCUGAAAUAAGUCCCAAGAGAAGCUUUGCCAGAAGUUGCUUUUCCUUUUAACUUUCUAUUCUUCCUUUCUCACCUCCCAGGCAAUGGUGGAUUCCUGAGAGGACUCCUGUUGUUGGUGAAGCCCAUUUUGACUGUGUUCAAGUUUGUUCUUGUAUUAUUCCAUCUGGUGGCUCCCCAAACCGCUUUCUUUUUUUAGUCUCCUUGUAAAUAUUUACAUAAGAAGGUUCUUGCAACUGCAGGUUCCUAUAUUGGUGGAUUGGCGCAAAGCAUAGUCUUGACGUGUUUUAUUCCUUUUACGAACAAUUCGGUUAAGCGGAUUCUCUCCAAGCUCAUUAAAAAAUAGCCUUUCAUUUUAAUAACAUCAUCAGAAACGAAGUAGCACCAGAGGGGAAAAUAAGUUUGCAAUGUGCAGCCUCAAGUGGCAAUCUCUGAGCCACUCUUGGUGGUUGAUGCAAGAUUUGGUGAUUGUAGUUAAUGGCUGGAAUGCAGUAUGCAUUUAAAGGCAUCAUCUCCCUUGGCAGAACAAGGAGCUGUGGUGUUUUCUGGGACAGCCGAAUGCAUAAGAGAUCAGAUAAUUGGAUCAGGAGAUUAAGACUUGGUUCCCAAACUUCAGACUGUAGCUCAUCUGGCCUUCCUCCCUGAGGCACUAUCUUUGUUUGCUUUCUCUUCAUUGCCCUCCCUCCUGGGCAAGUCCAUCCUUGCCCACCACUUUAACUGACACUUCUUUAGAGGGAGCAGUCAAACCUCUCUGUUUAGCCUUACCCUCAUUUUUGAGCCCCAGUUCUGCAUUCCCGCUUUUCCUGAACUUUUUAAACAAGAUUGCCAUCACAGCUUAAACCUGACAGAACCAAAGCCAACCUCAACUCCUUCUGAACCUGGUCCCAUGCUUGCUCUUGUGAGUGCAACCUUCCAGCCUCGCUUGAACCAGCAUAAUUCCUAAAUCUGUCACCUUUGCCCCACCCCACCCCCAAAUCAAAUCAGUUGCCAGAUGAUGUUGAUUUUAAUGCUGCUUGAUGACUUCCAUGGGUACAUCUGUUUCUGUCCUCGCUGUCGUCAUCCCAGGUUGCCUUAAGCUGUAUGCGUUUAUUCAACAUAUGUGUUGAGUGGAUGCUUCCUGUAUACCAGACAUCUAACAGGUGCUGGAAAUAUAGAAGUGAAUAAGACAAGAAGAGAAUUUGCACCUGUAAAAUGCACAUCAAAAAAUUAAUGAUAAAACAUGUUAAAUCUGACCAUAUAGGAAAAAUAAGAGAAGUCACAGGCUUACCUGGCUUCUCAUACUACCAAGCUCUGAUACUAUUCAUUUGUCUGAUUAUGUCGUUUUUCUUCUCAAAUGACAUCAAUGCCCCUCAGUGUUACCUGCUCAUUUCAGACCAUGUAUUUAUUCAUUCACCACUCAUGAAUCUUUUGUUCUCCUUCAUGCCAUGUUCUUCAAUGUCUCCAUGCUCUUGCUAAUGUGUUUUCUUCUUCCCAUAGCAUUCUUCUUACCUCACUACACCCAGCCAUUCUUCACUUGGUUAAUCGAAGAGACACCCUGAUUAAUGCAGAUGUCAACACUUCAAGGAAGACAUCUCCACUCUUCACUGAAGCCUUUCAUAACACGCUCACAAGCUUUUUCUCCAUCCUUUCAUCCCAUCCAUUAGGUAACUGUUCACUCUUCAUAAUUCCAGGAGAGCCUCAUUGCAUUUGAUUCCAAUUAAUCUGUUCUGUGACACUAGCCUUGACCUAAACUUGGUGUUUGUAGAAAGCCUUUGAGUUAAGGUCCAUGUUUUUCCUAACACACAGUUUGAUUUGACUGACCCAUCUGGCCUUUGUCACUCCUGCAUGGGGGAGAAACUGUCUUCUUUAAGACACAGUCCACGGAAGCAUCUAUUAACUGGGUUUCUUGGUUAUUACUGGGUUGUGCUAGAUUUAAAACAUGCGGAAGAGAUCGUUUCUCUAUGACCAUUUUUUAUGUGACCUGGAAUAAAAGUGCAGGGCAUUAUAAAGUUUGGCAGCAGCAUUUUCAUAAGAAAUAUGAAGUUUUUGCUAGGAACUUCUUCUUAAAAAAGAAUAAAAGAAGUGGUAUUGUUCUGUGUUUCUUUUUUUCUUCAUCCAAUUUAUAGAUGGGAAGAGGAGGUUUAAAGAACUGCAAUUUGGAUGUGUUACAGUGAAUUAGAAGAGAUGACAGGGUUAUUAAAAAUCAGGUAUUAUACAAGUAAAUUUUGGUAUUUGAUCACCUGCAUUUCCAUGGCUUUAAUGAAAAUUGAUCGGUGGUGUUCCAUUCCGUUAGUCUACUGUGUUUUGAUUUCUUUAUAUUUAAUGCCCUCUCACCUGACCCUUUUAAAAUAAUAGGCGCGGUGGCUCAUGCCUGUAAUCCCAGCACUUUGGGAGGCCGAGGCGGGCGGAUCACGAGGUCAAGAGAUCGAGACCAUCCUGGUCAACAUGGUGAAACCCCGUCUCUACUAAAAAUACAAAAAAUUAGCUGGGCAUGGUGGCGCGUGCCUGUAAUCCCAGCUACUCAGGAAGCUGAGGCAUGAGAAUUGCCUGAACCCAGGAGGCGGAGGUUGCGGUGAGCUGAGAUCGUGCCAUUGCACUCCAGUCUGGGUAACAAGAGUGAAACUCCACCUCAAAAAAAAAAAAAAAAUAGACUGGCAUUCCUGAGGAUGCAGAGUGUCAGCUGUGCAGCAACAGAGAGCUGCUGAAGUCUGCUGAGCCAUACCUGGCCACAGCUGGAUUGAAGAUGGGUCUGAGUUCUGAGAAAGACUGUACACUCUCCCUAUUGGAAAAACAGACUUCAUUUCGGGAAAUAUUCAAUAAAACGUUUUGAGACACACAGAGUCCCAUUCAUGGUGAGAGAGAUCGAAGGUAGCUGUUUUCCCUCUUAAGGUUUGGCGCAGUCUGUAAGGAUACUAUUUAAUGUAAUCCAGAACUGAUUAUUUUGUUGAUCAUGUUUCAAAACCCCUGCCCUUUAAACAAGUUCCCAGAGUAAAUUGAAUGCAAUUGUGGGAAGUUUAACUUUUUAAAGGAAGUCUUGUUGUUAUUUUGAGACUGAGGGAGAGGAUUAUGGGAGAGGGUGACUGGAAACCUGCCCCCAAACUGAAAAAUCCAAGGGGAUGGGAGGAAGGAUGAACAGAGAAGAGAAAGACUAGAAUUCUGGGUCAGAAACUCUCGCUCAAUGAGUCAUCCCAUAGGACAAAUAAAACCUCACUCAUCACCCUGUCUUCCCUCUCUGCAGCGAGAGAAGCAAACACUGGGGCCCUGGAAAAACAUCAGUAACUUCUCGUAGCAUCUGUAGGUGGGGAUGGUUUCCAAGCCACUGAGAGGGCUGUGAACGCAGUUACUGGGGCUCCAGUUUUUCUCAGCCAAGUAGGAAGAACCUCCAAAUUGACCUUGGAAAAACAUACUCAAUGAAGGAAAAAAAUAUGGUAAGUUCUCCCUGUGUAUUUGUAUUAGAGAUUUUUUUUUUAAAGAAACAAAUACAUUGCUUUCCAGUUUUCCAUGAAAAGAGUUUGAAUACUCUCAUAUUCACCAUGGUAAAAUCCUUAGAGUGGGGUUUGAAAGGCUGUAGACAGGACAUAAGCUUCACCCUCUUUAAUAAGCACAAGGUCAUCCACACAGUACAACUGUAUUCAUAUUAAAAAGCCUAAGGGGGAAACCAUUCUUGCCACUCCUUUCAGCAAAGAUUGAAAUUAGCAUUUUUAUGAAGAACAUAAACUCUCUGCGUAUCAAAGAUGCACUUUUAUUACUCUGAAACUGGCUCGAAUAAGCAUCCUGAAAACAUUUGGCUCUUUCUCCUCCAGGAAGAGGCCAAUUAAAACACAGUCUGUCUAACUGCCAGUCCCUACCCACUCUUCAGUGGGGCAACAACAAUACCGAGAU
Callithrix jacchus (white-tufted-ear marmoset) is the source of this 4554-nucleotide long non-coding RNA. RefSeq lists it as uncharacterized. The record is from RefSeq and is a predicted model, not a curated record. NCBI's taxonomy places the organism in Eukaryota, Metazoa, Chordata, Mammalia, Primates, Cebidae.